This 547-nucleotide ribosomal RNA is filed under the name uncultured bacterium. RNAcentral describes it as "bacterial SSU rRNA". It matches the Rfam family "Bacterial small subunit ribosomal RNA", at positions 976 to 1533 of the family's 1533-position model. The record is from RNAcentral.
UGGUCUUGACAUGUACGGAACCCUCCAGAGACGGAGGGGUGCUUUCGGGAGCCGUAACACAGGUGCUGCAUGGCUGUCGUCAGCUCGUGUCGUGAGAUGUUGGGUUAAGUCCCGCAACGAGCGCAACCCUUGUCAUUAGUUGCCAUCAUUAAGUUGGGCACUCUAAUGAGACUGCCGGUGACAAGCCGGAGGAAGGUGGGGAUGACGUCAAGUCCUCAUGGCCCUUAUGACCAGGGCUUCACACGUCAUACAAUGGUCGGUACAGAGGGUAGCCAAGCCGCGAGGUGGAGCCAAUCUCACAAAACCGAUCGUAGUCCGGAUUGCACUCUGCAACUCGAGUGCAUGAAGUCGGAAUCGCUAGUAAUCGCAGGUCAGCAUACUGCGGUGAAUACGUUCCCGGGUCUUGUACACACCGCCCGUCACACCAUGGGAGUGGGGGAUACCAGAAGUAGGUAGGGUAACCGCAAGGAGCCCGCUUACCACGGUAUGCUUCAUGACUGGGGUGAAGUCGUAACAAGGUAACCGUAAAUCGAAUCCCGCGGCCGCC